CUCGGCAGGAGGCAGUUCAGCUGUCACAUGAGCAGGAUCACGUCACUGUGUGAAGGAGGCGGCUGCCUAGAGGAUCAGCUGUAUCUGCCUUGGAUGGGAGCCGGACACCGAGCAUGGUGGAUAGCGUUCCGGAAGUGGAAUUAGCAUUCAGGAAUGUAUAGAGUCGGAAGUACAAAAAACUCCGGAGUCGGAGUCGGAACAUUUAUCUACCGACUCCACAGCCCUGAAGCCAUCAAAUGGAAAUAUCAUUGGAUUCUCACUGGAAUAAUAAUGUGCUGUCCUGCCUCUCCUGGGUGACAUUUAUCAGCAUUGCAGGAAGAAUGCGUCAUUGUGUUCCAGGGUUCUUCAGGUUCCGAAUACAUAAACGUGUGUUCAGCAUGUAAAUUCCAAAUGUGUUGAUCCAGAAGAAGACAACCCAAAACCCCCAGUGAGCAGCCUGCCAAUAAAAGCUUAUGUAUAGCUUGCCAAUGCCGCCAUUUAUUAAUGCAGCUACCUCAUUUUACAAAAUAAAAUUACCGAAGGACAUGUAAGGAGGCAUAUUGCAGCAAAGGAGCACCAUAUA
This is a long non-coding RNA of Hyla sarda, 562 nucleotides long. RefSeq lists it as uncharacterized. The record is from RefSeq and is a predicted model, not a curated record. The transcript is spliced from 4 exons. Lineage: Eukaryota; Metazoa; Chordata; Amphibia; Anura; Hylidae.